ACACACACACUUUGCUCUAAUGCUAGGAAAAGGAAAAUUUAUUUUGGUGUUUUAAAAGUAUCUAAAAUAAAGGGAAGGAAACAUAAUGUUGGAGAUUCAUGAAUACAUAUAGUGUUCCUACUAACGAUCAUCCUGAGAAAUUAAUUUUGUUCUAAAUGAGAUUACUUCUUUUUAUCUCUACUCAGUUCUAUAGUUACUGUACAGCAUUAAUCUAUAAUAGCCACUGGAAGUCACUGGCAGUUUUUCUAUGCAACAGGAUAUCCCACUGGUCCAAUGCUGUGACACGAGUAGUUAGUGUGUAGGUUUAGACAAUACUUCCUCCUCAAAAUCCAUCUGGAUGCAGUGAUUUAUGUGGAGGCCAAGACAUCUCUGGCAGUGGAAAAGACAAGACUUCUGUCAAUGUUGGAGUUUGAAUAGGUACAACAUAUCUAAUUGGAUGAGGUUGUGAGGUACUGUGAAAAAAGCAAGGUUACAGUCAGGGAUGAACUCGUCAUAAAGAAUGAAGUCCGUCAUAGUCAGCAGGAUGGUAUAGCUAUGUGUGGCAACAGGUAAAGUGAACCAGGCAGGUAUAAAUGUUUGAGCAGGAAAAAAACUCAUGUUUCCUGGGUAUGGGUACACGUAUAAAACUUCUAAAUCGUAGCACAGCAGCAAGUGUUUGCCUUUCAGAGGAGCUUUUGUGGACAGGAUGGGCUGACAGCAAUCUUUGCCUGACCUAAUCUUUGGAGAUCUGCACGUCAGUGGGUUCCGGGGCUGAGUGGUAGAGUCCAGGUGUAGUUAUCAGAGGAGAGUGCCAGCCUCAGUUUUUGUGUUAAUGGUCGUGGCGGCCCAGCAGGAACAAGGGCCUGUGCAUCAGUGGUUCUUUGGCAUUUUGUCUGGGAGAGAAUGAUCAACAAGACUGUAAUUGAGACUACAGUGUGACCACAUAAAUUGAGCAGAGAGAGACACAUGUAAGAGACUUCCAUCUCUGAUCUCUGGAGAAGCACAGAGACUUUUGUAUUCCAAUAUAGAUUGAUUUUUAUAAAAAGAUGAAUUUAAGGUGCUCAUAGCCAAUCAUCUCCAGUGUUGUAAAUGGCAACCAAAUAUUUAAUAAAAAUAUAAAUCCAAUUACAUCAAGCAUUAUUUAACUUACACAGUCAUAGAAUUCAUCAAUGUUUCAUUAUUCUGAUUUUUUUUUAAGGCCAAGUCAUCAGGUUGUAAGAGGGAAUUCAUAAGGACAGAAAAACAUAAUUGUGCUACUUUCUUUGCUAUUACAUAUAAGUAACAAUGAUAGCAAACAUUUAUACCCUUUAGGUUUGUUGUCUCACUUAAUUAUCUCUGUAACCUUAUGAGGAAGGUGCUUUUUUUGUAAUCACAUUUUAUACAUGGGAAAAUUUAGGCAGAUGGAAUUUGAGUAAUUUGCCCAGGACCCUACAGUUAACAAAUUGUAGAAAAGGGAUUUGAACUCAUGUAGCAUGUGAUUACCCACUAUGUCAUGCCCACUACUGGGAGAAAUACACUAUGGUAGAACAUGCUAUAUGACCAAUAAAUGAAAUAUUUAUUUGAACUUUAUGGUACUUUUUGACUAUGUUUAAAUGAUUUAUUUAAAUCAAGAUUCCAUCUGAGUUUCCCACUACAUAGUGCUUGGGAAGAGUGGACAGUGACACUAGUUAACAUGAUUUAGUAGUUGGUGGCUUCGAUUAGCAGUAAAUUGAUGACAUGACAACCUGGAAUGAGAAGGGUUGAAAACAGAGAAAACUUUUAUUCUUUAAGAGUUUAUGAUUUUUUUGUUAUUAUUGUUAGGGAAAACACUGUAUUAUUGUAGUAUGUUUUAAUUAAAGAUGAAAUAAGAUAGAGGUUUGUAUCUAUGAUAUCAUAUUGAUAUUAAUUCACUUAAUGGUAGCAGUGUAGUAAUCGAUAAAUGCUUUGACUUUGUAGUAAGAUGAAAGUCUUACUUGGAUAACAACUUGCAGAGCUGAUUUUGUUAGCUUAGGAAAGGCAGAAUGAUUUAAGCUUGGCAAAUGCAUGUAAAAUAGGUGUUCAUUAUUCUAUUUAGAUAAAGCUGGAGGGAUUUAUCUGGUGAUGUGCUUUAUGACUGUCCUUGACUCUGUCUACCUCAACAUUUUAAUAAAUAACAAAAUGAGGACAUUGGUUGGAGAGUGAUCAUAUUUAUGAUCCAUCCAUUCACUUACGUAGAAAUUCAUAUUUACAAGAGUACCUCCUAUGUGUGCCAGGCACUAUCUUAGGACAUGAAAUGCAACAGUGAACAAAACACAAAAAAAUCUAUUGCCUUCAUAGAUUUUUACAUUAAAGUGUGGAAAGAGAGUCACUCACACGCAAAAAGAACAAACAAAAUAUAUACCAUAUUAGUGAUAGACACUGUAUACCAUAUUAGUGAUAGGCACUAUUUAUAAAACAAAGGAAUGAAGUGGGUAGAAAGUGCCAAGAGUUCACAAUUUUUAAUAAGGUAGUCAGGUACGGCCUUGGAGUUGUUGAAACGUGACUAAGACUUCACAGGUGAGGGAGUACAUUAUUUAGAUAUAUGGGGGAAGAGCAGAGGGAACAAGUGCAAAGGCCUGAGGCAAGAAACAUCAAGUGUGACUUGAGCUAAGUAAGCCAGAUGUGAUGUCAGAGAGGGACAGAGUGAGGCCAGACCCACAGAGCUUUGCAAAUCAUGAAAACAUGUUGGCUUUACUUGUGAGUUAGUCAGUGAAGUAUUCAGAGCAGAGAUGUUACAAGGCUUUACUUAUUUUUUUAGAUGAUGUGAUUCUAGUUGAUAGGGUAGAAAACAAAUUGUAGGAAAAAUAAAUGAUGGAAGUAAGGAGAGCUACUGCAAUAAUGCAGCCAAAAGGUAAUGGUAACAGUAAGUAUUGAGGUGGUAGCUCAAUUUCUGGAUAUUUGUUUAUUAUGGAAGAAAAAUUUACAUUAUUCAUACUAUGUACCAGGCACUGUUUUUUAUGAUAUAUUAUGGUAAAAA
Molecule: non-coding RNA, 2953 nt
Organism: Macaca mulatta (Rhesus monkey)
Lineage: Eukaryota; Metazoa; Chordata; Mammalia; Primates; Cercopithecidae
Source: RefSeq, a predicted model, not a curated record